CCUUCAUGAAGCCGGAAUUGCUAGUAAUGGCAGGUCAGCAUACUGCCGUGAAUACGUUCCCGGGCCUUGUACACACCGCCCGUCACACCAUGAGAGUUGGAGAUACCCGAAGCCUGUGAGCUAACAAACGAGGCAGCAGUCGAGGGUAGAAUCAAUGAUUGGGGUGAAGUCGUAACAAGGUAUC
This 184-nucleotide ribosomal RNA is filed under the name uncultured bacterium. RNAcentral's name for it is "partial 16S ribosomal RNA". It matches the Rfam family "Bacterial small subunit ribosomal RNA", at positions 1315 to 1500 of the family's 1533-position model. The record is from RNAcentral.